Molecule: ribosomal RNA, 484 nt
Filed under: uncultured bacterium
Lineage: Bacteria
Description: partial 16S ribosomal RNA
Rfam family: Bacterial small subunit ribosomal RNA
Source: RNAcentral
GACGAACGCUGGCGGCGUGCUUAACACAUGCAAGUCGAACGAUGAAGCCGGAGCUUGCUCUGGUGAAUUAGUGGCGAACGGGUGAGUAACACGUGAGUAACCUGCCCUUGACUCUGGGAUAACUGCGGGAAACUGUAGCUAAUACCGGAUACGACCUUCGGAGGCAUCUCCUGCGGGUGGAAAGAAUUUCGGUCAAGGAUGGACUCGCGGCCUAUCAGCUAGUUGGUGAGGUAAAGGCUCACCAAGGCGACGACGGGUAGCCGGCCUGAGAGGGUGACCGGCCACACUGGGACUGAGACACGGCCCAGACUCCUACGGGAGGCAGCAGUGGGGAAUAUUGCACAAUGGGCGCAAGCCUGAUGCAGCAACGCCGCGUGAGGGAUGACGGCCUUCGGGUUGUAAACCUCUUUUAGCAGGGAAGAAGCGAAAGUGACGGUACCUGCAGAAAAAGCACCGGCUAANUANGUGCCAGCAGCCGCCGUAA